RNAcentral lists this ribosomal RNA (164 nucleotides) under Quercus pyrenaica. RNAcentral's name for it is "5.8S ribosomal RNA". It matches the Rfam family "5.8S ribosomal RNA". From Rfam's summary of the family: 5.8S ribosomal RNA (5.8S rRNA) is a component of the large subunit of the eukaryotic ribosome. It is transcribed by RNA polymerase I as part of the 45S precursor that also contains 18S and 28S rRNA. Lineage: Eukaryota; Viridiplantae; Streptophyta; Magnoliopsida; Fagales; Fagaceae. The record is from RNAcentral.
AAAACGACUCUCGGCAACGGAUAUCUAGGCUCUCGCAUCGAUGAAGAACGUAGCGAAAUGCGAUACUUGGUGUGAAUUGCAGAAUCCCGCGAAUCAUCGAGUUUUUGAAUGCAAGUUGCGCCCGAAGCCAUUCGGCCGAGGGCACGUCUGCCUGGGUGUCACGC